This 75-nucleotide transfer RNA is filed under the name Caudoviricetes sp. RNAcentral describes it as "tRNA-Arg". It matches the Rfam family "tRNA". From Rfam's summary of the family: Transfer RNA (tRNA) molecules are approximately 80 nucleotides in length. Their secondary structure includes four short double-helical elements and three loops (D, anti-codon, and T loops). Lineage: Duplodnaviria; Heunggongvirae; Uroviricota; Caudoviricetes. The record is from RNAcentral.
GCCCCUAUAGCACAACGGAGAGUGCACGCGCCUUCUAAGCGUGUGAUGUAGGUUCGAUUCCUACUGGGGGUGCCA